GAAGCAGCUUGCUGCUUCGCUGACGAGUGGCGGACGGGUGAGUAAUGUCUGGGAAACUGCCUGAUGGAGGGGGAUAACUACUGGAAACGGUAGCUAAUACCGCAUAACGUCGCAAGACCAAAGAGGGGGACCUUCGGGCCUCUUGCCAUCGGAUGUGCCCAGAUGGGAUUAGCUAGUAGGUGGGGUAACGGCUCACCUAGGCGACGAUCCCUAGCUGGUCUGAGAGGAUGACCAGCCACACUGGAACUGAGACACGGUCCAGACUCAUACGGGAGGCAGCAGUGGGGAAUAUUGCACAAUGGGCGCAAGCCUGAUGCAGCCAUGCCGCGUGUAUGAAGAAGGCCUUCGGGUUGUAAAGUACUUUCAGCGGGGAGGAAGGUGUUGAGGUUAAUAACCUCAGCAAUUGACGUUACCCGCAGAAGAAGCACCGGCUAACUCCGUGCCAGCAGCCGCGGUAAUACGGAGGGUGCAAGCGUUAAUCGGAAUUACUGGGCGUAAAGCGCACGCAGGCGGUCUGUCAAGUCGGAUGUGAAAUCCCCGGGCUCAACCUGGGAACUGCAUUCGAAACUGGCAGGCUAGAGUCUUGUAGAGGGGGGUAGAAUUCCAGGUGUAGCGGUGAAAUGCGUAGAGAUCUGGAGGAAUACCGGUGGCGAAGGCGGCCCCCUGGACAAAGACUGACGCUCAGGUGCGAAAGCGUGGGGGAGCAAACAGGAUUAGAUACCCUGGUAGUCCACGCCGUAAACGAUGUCGACUUGGAGGUUGUGCCCUUGAGGCGUGGCUUCCGGAGCUAACGCGUUAAGUCGACCGCCUGGGGAGUACGGCCGCAAGGUUAAAACUCAAAUGAAUUGACGGGGGCCCGCACAAGCGGUGGAGCAUGUGGUUUAAUUCGAUGCAACGCGAAGAACCUUACCUACUCUUGACAUCCAGAGAACUUAGCAGAGAUGCUUUGGUGCCUUCGGGAACUCUGAGACAGGUGCUGCAUGGCUGUCGUCAGCUCGUGUUGUGAAAUGUUGGGUUAAGUCCCGCAACGAGCGCAACCCUUAUCCUUUGUUGCCAGCGGUUAGGCCGGGAACUCAAAGGAGACUGCCAGUGAUAAACUGGAGGAAGGUGGGGAUGACGUCAAGUCAUCAUGGCCCUUACGAGUAGGGCUACACACGUGCUACAAUGGCGCAUACAAAGAGAAGCGACCUCGCGAGAGCAAGCGGACCUCAUAAAGUGCGUCGUAGUCCGGAUUGGAGUCUGCAACUCGACUCCAUGAAGUCGGAAUCGCUAGUAAUCGUGGAUCAGAAUGCCACGGUGAAUACGUUCCCGGGCCUUGUACACACCGCCCGUCACACCAUGGGAGUGGGUUGCAAAAGAAGUAGGUAGCUUA
This 1372-nucleotide ribosomal RNA is filed under the name Enterobacter hormaechei subsp. xiangfangensis. RNAcentral's name for it is "bacterial SSU rRNA". It matches the Rfam family "Bacterial small subunit ribosomal RNA", at positions 72 to 1437 of the family's 1533-position model. The record is from RNAcentral. Lineage: Bacteria; Pseudomonadati; Pseudomonadota; Gammaproteobacteria; Enterobacterales; Enterobacteriaceae.